Molecule: ribosomal RNA, 697 nt
Filed under: Salmonella enterica subsp. enterica serovar Thompson
Lineage: Bacteria; Pseudomonadati; Pseudomonadota; Gammaproteobacteria; Enterobacterales; Enterobacteriaceae
Also listed under: 4 other names
Description: partial 23S ribosomal RNA
Rfam family: Bacterial large subunit ribosomal RNA
Source: RNAcentral
UGCGGACAGUGUCUGGUGGGUAGUUUGACUGGGGCGGUCUCCUCCUAAAGAGUAACGGAGGAGCACGAAGGUUGGCUAAUCCUGGUCGGACAUCAGGAGGUUAGUGCAAUGGCAUAAGCCAGCUUGACUGCGAGCGUGACGGCGCGAGCAGGUGCGAAAGCAGGUCAUAGUGAUCCGGUGGUUCUGAAUGGAAGGGCCAUCGCUCAACGGAUAAAAGGUACUCCGGGGAUAACAGGCUGAUACCGCCCAAGAGUUCAUAUCGACGGCGGUGUUUGGCACCUCGAUGUCGGCUCAUCACAUCCUGGGGCUGAAGUAGGUCCCAAGGGUAUGGCUGUUCGCCAUUUAAAGUGGUACGCGAGCUGGGUUUAGAACGUCGUGAGACAGUUCGGUCCCUAUCUGCCGUGGGCGCUGGAGAACUGAGGGGGGCUGCUCCUAGUACGAGAGGACCGGAGUGGACGCAUCACUGGUGUUCGGGUUGUCAUGCCAAUGGCACUGCCCGGUAGCUAAAUGCGGAAGAGAUAAGUGCUGAAAGCAUCUAAGCACGAAACUUGCCCCGAGAUGAGUUCUCCCUGAGACUUAGAGUCUCCUGAAGGAACGUUGAAGACGACGACGUUGAUAGGCCGGGUGUGUAAGCGCAGCGAUGCGUUGAGCUAACCGGUACUAAUGAACCGUGAGGCUUAACCUUACAACGCCGAAG